Triticum aestivum (bread wheat) is the source of this 115-nucleotide non-coding RNA. The record is from Rfam. NCBI's taxonomy places the organism in Eukaryota, Viridiplantae, Streptophyta, Magnoliopsida, Poales, Poaceae.
UUAAUACUCCCUCCAUUCGGAAUUACUUGUCCAAGAUAUGAAUGUAUCUAGAUGUAUUUUAGUUGUAGAUACAUCCAUUUUUGUGAAAAGUAAUUCCGAACGGAGGGAGUAGAAU